Non-coding RNA from Poecilia reticulata (guppy), 1838 nucleotides. The record is from RefSeq and is a predicted model, not a curated record. Lineage: Eukaryota; Metazoa; Chordata; Actinopteri; Cyprinodontiformes; Poeciliidae.
CUGAUGAGCGCCGUUACUCCACAGUAUAGAAGCGAUAUGAGCUAUUAAUACAGAUCUGAUCCACAAUAGUUUUUCUGCAAGAAAGGCACUGAGAGGAUGUGGCAAUUCGAUGUUCCUGCAACCCUGCAGAUACUCUGCUUUGCGUUGUUCUUGUGUCUACUGCGAUGGUUCAGAAUCAAAGGUCAUGGUGGAGAUGACUCUGCAGCUGAACGUGUAGGUGAGAGAUACUCGGGUUGUGAUUCAGGAGGCAGUGCUGAGCACAGUUCUGUCAUUUGAAAAUGGAAGGACGGUGGCACAAAUGCAAACCUACCGACACUCGGCUGUCUACCUGAACCGAUAGGCUGAGCAAAGCAAGGGGAGCAUUAAUCCGAAAAGCAGCCAAGAGGUAAUUGUGGAGGACCUGCAGAAGUCCACGGCUCCACAGGGAGAAAUCUGUUGACACUGACAGCACAACUAUGUGCGCUCCACAAAUUUGAUCUUUAUGGCAGAGUGACAAGAAGAAAAUCAUUACUGAAAGAAACCAUCAGCAGAACUUUUUGUAGUUUGCAAACAAACACACGGAAGAAAGUUCUUUUAUCAGAUGAGACCACGCUUCUUGUCUUUCUUGCAAAAUGUCAGCUGUGAAGGAAACUAAGACCCUGAAAACAUCUGCAGUAAAAUGUGGCGGUGUCACCAUGCCACCUGCUUUCUUUCUGGCGGAGCAAAGAAGUUUAUAAGAGUUGAUGGGAAGAUGAAUGGAGCAAAACGCAAGAUUGUCCUGGAAGAAAAUAAAUUUAUAUGCAGCAAAAGACUUGAAACAAGGCAGAGGUUCACUUUCCAUCAGGACAACAACACUAAACAUUCAGCUAAAUGACUUAGAUAAAUGGAGUUUCAUGUGUUAGACAGACCCAGUCAGAAUAAGUAGAUGGUGUCCAUCAAAUAUGACUUAGCUUGAUGUAUUUUGGUUAAAAGAAAAAAUCAGCCUUCAAAUGUGCAAAGACUGCAGAGACAUAAACCUCUUAAAAGAUGUUGUAGCAGUAAUUACACCAAGAGGUAGUUCUACAAUGGGUAGUGUAUCAAUGCCAAGUAUAUUUUAUGCUUUAUUUUUUAAAAAAAGUAAUUAUUAUCAUUUUUUUUAUGUAAUGUGACAAAUAAAAAAAGGCUUAUUGGGUAUAAAUCCUUUUGCAAAGCACAAAUAGUGGUUUAAAAUGAUCUUUAGGAUUGUUGAUGUAGACAAUAUGUAAUUAAAUCUUAAAAACAUAAACUGGACAACCAUCAAGGCAUCUGCAACUGUAGAUUUUAAGACAAGUUUAUAAAAUCAAGAAACUGAGCUUUACUGGUCUGGAGCUCAUUACAGCGUCUUGCUCUAUCAGUAGCACUUACACAUCAUCUUUUAUCUGGGAUCUCUGAAUUUUAAUUAUCCAUUUGCAAUCAAGCUCUUUAACAAAUGUGCGUUUUAAAAUGCAUCUUCUGAUUAGUGAAAUUUCUGGAAAAAGGUAUGAAAUUUCAUCCAUAUUCAAGCCUCAUCUGGAAGAAAAAGCUGUAGAUUUAUGAAGUCUGAAGACUAAAAUCUGUUUUAUGUUUUAGGAAAACAUGGAACAAAUCAGCCAACUUCCUUUAGACCUACACAUUAAACAACUGUGCAUUUCUCUUGGUGUCUAUUUUUUUAUGAAAUAAUGUUGAUAAAUAAUCUUAAAAAUCCUGGAAAUACUCACUAUUUUAGCUUUUAGUAGAAAAAGUUCCUGUCAGCAUUAACGGGAAUUAAAGGAAAACUAAAUUGGUGUAAAAUGGCCAUAAGUUAUUUUGCAAAGUAUGGAUGAUAUAAAAUAAAUGAUAACGGCAAAAAAAAAAUUUUACAU